UCCCUGAUAGCUCAGUUGGUAAAGAAUCUGCCUCCAGUGCAGGAGACCUUGGUUCAAUUCCCAGCUUGGGAA
This 72-nucleotide transfer RNA is filed under the name Bos taurus (domestic cattle). It matches the Rfam family "tRNA". Rfam says of the family: Transfer RNA (tRNA) molecules are approximately 80 nucleotides in length. Lineage: Eukaryota; Metazoa; Chordata; Mammalia; Artiodactyla; Bovidae. The record is from Rfam by way of RNAcentral.